Molecule: long non-coding RNA, 15170 nt
Filed under: Coffea arabica (coffee)
Lineage: Eukaryota; Viridiplantae; Streptophyta; Magnoliopsida; Gentianales; Rubiaceae
Description: long non-coding RNA (CARA_LNC005370)
Source: RNAcentral
UUUUUUUUUGUUGAAAAAGAUUUGCAUUUUCUCGAAUCAAAAAACUAAUUUUCUGUUUUAACUCCUUGUUUCUAGCAUAGGAUUCUUUCAAACUAUCAUGCAAUUUUAUAAUGAAAGAUUCAAGAUCAUCAUCAGUUUCAUCAUCACUUUCAACUUGAGAGUUACAAGUUGUUACCUCAUCAUCUCCAAUGGCCAUGAAAGCCAAUUGAGCAGAUUCUUCUUCCUCUUCAAUUUCACCAUCGGAGUUGCAUUCAUUCCAUGUGAACUGGAAGUUAUUGAAUCUGGGUUUUCUUUCACCUUUUCUCUUCUUCACUGGACACUCACUUGCAUAAUGUCCAGGUUGGCCGCAUUCAAAGCACUUGUCACCUUGCUUUUUGUUGGCCUCAUAUCUUCCUUUAUUUCUUGCAUUUUUGAAUUGAUUAGAAUCUGAAUUGCUAGAUCCUCCUCUUCUAAAUCUCUUUUUGUUGAGAAUCCUCUUGAAACUUCUUGUGAUGAGAGCAAGAUCACUGUCAUCACCAUCCGAGUCUUCAUCAUCCAACAGAGCUGGAUCAUCUUCACCUUGAGCUGCCUUUAGAGCAAUGUUUCUUUUUGAUCUCGCAUCCUCUUCCUCCUGCACUUUAGUUUUCAACUUCAACUCAUAGGAGGUUAGUGAGUUAAUGAGAGAUUCAAUAGGUACAGAAUUCAAAUCCUUAGCCUCUUCUAUUGCAGUCACUUUACUUUCCCAUUCUUUGCCCAAUGCAUUGAGAAUUUUCCUAUUUUUCUCUCCCAAUGUGUAUUCUUUGCCCAACACCUCGAGAUCUUUGAUCAAGUCAUUGAACCUGCAAUACAUUUUGUCAAUAUUCUCAAGGGGUUCUAUUUUAAAUGAUUCAUACUUUGUGACCAAGAUAGACUUUUUCUGUUCUCUCACGUUGUCACUACCCUCAUAAAUUUCUCUUAGCUUAUCCCACAUUUCUUUGGUAGAUUUACAUCCUUUGACUCUAAUUGACUCAUUUGAGUCUAAGGCACUAUAAAGAACAUUCAUGGCUUUGGCAUUCAAUGUGAGAUUGGUUCUAUCUUGAGCAUUCAUCUCAGCUCUUGUUUUUGGCCGAAACAAACCUGUAUCUGCAUCAAGAAUGUUAGUGUCAUGCGGUCCUUCAUUUACAAUAAACCAUAGCUCAAUAUCAAUGGAUUGCAAAAAGAUAAUCAUUCUUUCUUUCCAACUAAAAUAAUUGGAACCAGUAAACAUGGGAGGCCUAGUGACCGAUUGUCCCUCAACAAACAUGGCAUGAUUGGUUGUCAUCUUUACUCCAAGCCGCUUGAGCUUAAUCUCUAGGAACCAAGCUCUGAUACUAAUUGUAAGGCCCAAAGACAACCUAAGAGGGGGGUGAAUUAGGUUGAUUAAAAUCUUAAUCAAACUUAUACAAUUUUUCUUUAAUAAAAAUUUACCUUCUUUUCUAGUAAUGAUCAACCAAGUAGAUUAGAAGAAGAGAGCAAUGUUGAUUAGAAAAACAAGUAUAGAUAAGCAAUGAGAAUUUUAUUAAACAAAAAGAAUAAGAUAGAAUAUCAAACCGAUUGUCUACCAAGCUUUCCUCAAACUUGAAGACCAAUCACUAGGUUGAGCAACUUCUCUUUGAUGAAAGAUGAUCAACUAGAUGUACAAUGGAGGGAGCACUUCCUCCUUACCCUAAGCCUCACUUAGUCAAGCUAAGAAGUUUUACAAUCACUCAGAUAACCCUCAACAAAGCUACACUAAUAAAACUUUCAACCACAAGAGAAAUGCUCACAAGAAAUUCACACCACUUGGAGAACAAAUCUUGUCUUGGAGACUAUUUUCAAGUUAAAAUAUCUCUUGAGAUCUUGUAAACAAAGUGUGCAAAAGUUCCUUCUUCGUUCAGAAUCGUUUGUAUUUGAAGGGGACCAAAAAUGGGCUUCAUUAAUGCUUCCAACGGAUAGAAGGCAGAUGAAGAGUCAGCUAGCCGUUGGGGCUGUCGGACGUCCGACAACCUAGUCAUCGUCCGAUCCCAUCAUCCGAAAAUCAGUCAAGUUGUUGUUCGGACGUCCGAUGAGAUUUUAUCGUCCGAGCUUCUGUGUCCGAACGUCGUCCAGAGAGUUAUCAAAGCUUUGUGGAAUUUUUAGGACGUCCGAUGAGAUUGAUGUGCGUCCGAAGCAUGCGUCCGAUCCUUCAGGAUGUCCGAUGCUUCCUUACGAGCGUCCGACAGAGUUUCCUUCUUGAUGUUCUUCAUCCUUUCGGACGUCCGACAUGAGUGUCCUGUUUUUGCUUCUUCUUUUGGUUGAUUUUCAUUUCUUGACAUAUUCGUACCUGAUUCUUUGAUAGGCAAAAAACACUUAUAUUUGAAAAGAGUUAGAUAAAUAUUUCAAAGUACUUUGUGAUCAUCAAAACCAAGAAUAACAGAUCUUUUCGAGAGAACCUUUUCAAAAAUAAUUUGCCCCAGUGUAGGGCCUUUUUCCCUUCUUUCUUCUCUUUAUUCGGCAUCGGCCUUCCACAUCACUAGAUGUUCUUUCGUCGAUUUCAGCCAUAAAUACCUGUACAGGGGGGCUUACCAAAGUAUGACAUGCACUUGAAUUUCAUGAAAAGAGCAGCGUGAUUGAUUCAAAAAAUGUAUUAUUUGAUUUUUGGACGAAAACCUCAAAUGUAUUACAAAAAAUUUAUCCCAGUGUGGGCCCAUUUUACGAAAUCUCAUAAACAAAAAAUUGCCCGAGUAUGGGCCCAUUUUGUAAAAUCUCUCAAAUGAAAAUUUGCCCCAGUGUGGACCCAUUUAAUUGCAAACAUUUGUUUGGAUGGCUCUUAAUUUUUUGAACAAUGUAAGAAACUAUGUUUCCUAACAGAAAAUUUCAUGAGGAAUCUCUCGAAAUAAAAUCAAAUCACAGAAGAUUUCUUCCACACCUUAGCAUCGGUGCUUAGGGUAACGGGUCGCCACUUCUUGUUGGCUCAUCUUUCAAGACCAAUCAAGUGAUCUUAUUUCUGAUUUUGAGAUGGCUAAGGAAAAUGAUAAGUCAAGAUUUGUCUUGUUCUUGUGCCCAAAAUUGUAUGUAAUCCAUUCAACAUCACAUCUUAGUGAAAGCAAAUAGUUUGUCACCCUUAUUUCUUAAGAAAACUUAGUCAACACAUAAGAUUUAUAAGCUUGUAACAGAGGGGUAGAAACGAUACCAACGCAUGCGGAAACAGGUUAUAACCUUAUGAUCAGGAGCGUAACCCUUGCUUUGAGUUGUCAUGAGAGAUAAGCCAGCGAUGGACUUUAUGAGCUUGUAAUGCGGCUGGAAAACGAUAGUUGAAGGAAUAAGACUUUCAAGAACAUUGCACCGAAGAUCGCAUUUCCAAAAUUGCCCCUAUUUUGAACUCAAAGAUCUCAGAUUUGGUGACUUUCAUCAUCACUUAACGGGGACUUCACCAUCAAAUCUUUUUCAUUUCCUUUACAAUUAUUUUUGCUUUUUCCUUUUCUUUUCUUUUCAAAGGUGCCCUGGCGGAUUUUCAGACGAUGAGUAAUGUCAACUUCACAGCUAAUCAAUUCAGAAAUACAUCUAAACAAUUUCCUAGCAUCAGUAUAUGCGCAUCACUUGCCAAUUAAUUAGAAAGUUUCUUAACAAAGAUAUUGCAAAGAACGGAAGUCAGGACUUUCGACUUUUGUAAUAGGGUCUGGUGGGGUGUUUAGAAAAGUUAAGGCUUGAAGGCAGAUUUCAAAAGUGGUUUAAGUAAUCUGAGAUCGCAUUGUUGCGCCAACCCUAUUUUAGGGUUAAAUAAAAAACUUGCCCCAGUUCAUUCUCCAUUGAGGCUUUUUCUUUUUCAUUUCGUUCUCUUUUUCGGCCUUCUGCCAUUCUUUUGAACUUUUCCAAAAAUUUGCCCCAAUUUAUGCUCAACCGAGGUUCUCUUUUCUUUUUUCUUCUUUUGAUUUUGGCCCUCUUUCAAAAAUUAAAUUUGCCCUAGUUUGGGGUUUUUCUUUUCCUUCUUUUUCAAAACUCAAUUUACCCCAAUGUGGGGUUUGUGAUUCUCUGGGGUUGCCAAACGAAAUAGUUUAUUCUGAAGGUUCAAAAGGGAUAACUAGAGAUAAAAUGUUUGAUUGGAAAGGAAGAUGGCCUGACUUUCGUUCCAUUCCUCACAUUGACCCUGAAAGGAAACUUUCAUUUAUGCGAAAUUUCUUGCAUGUAUCUGAAUUAAUUGACUAAGGAAGACUCUUGUUCAUCCAUAUCUAUGAAACAUAAGUGAUCCGCCGAACAAAACUCGUCCUUUUUCUCUUUUCUUUUCAAAAUUGAAACCCAGGUAGAAUCAAAUUUUCCCAAUUUGAGGUUUCCUUUUCUUUUCUUUUCUUUUUUUGCAAAAUUUCCCAAUCUCCUUCCUCAAUGUGGGGUGCGAUCAUAAGUGUAUUCGAAAAGAACCACCUAUUUUGACUCAAAUGAGGAUGCAAGGGGUAAUCCGUGUUUAGGUUGUAGAAACGAUGGCCAAAGUAUCAUUAUCCGUGUUUAGGUUGUAGAAACGAUGGCCAAAGCAUCAUUCUUACGCUUCAUGACAACCAAAGUAAAGAAUAACUCAUCGAGAACCCAUUCUCUUUUAAAAAUUUUUCCAAUGUAGGGUAGUGAUCAUUAAGACCCUUAUUUGAAACGAAAUUAUUCUUUUAUGGCUCAAAUGGGAGAGCAAAUGAUAAAGUCUGUAUAGAUAGAGAAACGAAAGUCUAAAGUAUCAUUCCAAAUUUUUAAAACAAAGAAGAAGUGAUGUACAUUUUUGCUUUCACUUAGAUGUGAAUUGAAUUUGAUUAAACUAGUGGGCAUUUUUCCAAGCAAAGAUUAUCCCAAUUUGCAAUUUGUUAAUCAAUGUGACUGAUUCUUGGGGGUCCAUAGAAGUGGGCAAAAUAUGGAUUGUGCAGUGAAGGAGAAAAGGUAUUGCAUUGGGCCUUUUGAAUAACCUCUUUUAAUUUUGAGCACUAUUAUUGUACAGUUUGAAUCACCAAUCUAGUGAAUGCAGAGAAUUUAUAAAACAUACACUUGUAAAUUUUCAGACAGGAGGUCGAAAAAUCUCAAUUUCGUCUUAUUUCUUAAAAUUCAUCAUGAAAUCCCUCAAAUAGCAAAAAAAGAAUGAAAUAUACAUGAUUAUAUACAAAACAACAAUUGUAUAAAUAAAAAAAAACUUUAUUGCUGAAAAAUUUGAAACAAAAUUUCUUCAAAUGAGAAGAGAAAGACUUCUGAAGAGCUCCACAUAUACCCACUUUUUGCCUCUUUUUUAGAACAUAAUUUUUCUUUUCUUUGAAAAAUAAUGAUGAAAUCUCUUAGAGGCUUUAGCCUAGCACUUCCAAAUAGAUCCUUCAUGUUUUCAUUGCAGGGUCUGCCCAAGAAUCAAGUAAUAUUUAUAAUUUUCAGGAUUCAUUAGACAAAAUCGUCAUCAAAUAUAGAAAGAAUAUUUUUACUUCAUUGAAAUCUCUUUUAUAAAUGCAGGGGAGGGGGAAAAAUAAAAGAACAAAAUACCCACAGUUAGUAAUUAAAAUUGUAAAAUCGGUAUGCAUGUCCUAUGGGGGAGCCCUUUUGCGCCAAGGGUUGGCCUAUCAUGAAAAUGCAAUCCUCUGGGAGUAGGCACUAUACAAUACCUGAUGGAUCCGAUCAACUUAUUGAGUGAAAAAUAAUUUGAAAAUUUUGGUCAAUUGGAGUGACGAGAGACAUUUGUCAAAAUGAGGACAACGUCCGAAUGGAUUGAUCACUUCGAUCGAUACAAGAAUUUGUAAAAACGCACCGGUUUGAUCUUGACAAACUUCCUAUCAGAGAGAUUGAAAUUCGUUGACAAAUUUUCUCAGUGAAGCAUGGGUCAAAACCCCAACCGACCAAAUGGCUGGAUGCAAUGGAUGGUUUUCUUAGAAUCGACUAGGUUUCCCAAUUUGAAAUUCGACAUUGAAACCCUAAUUGGUCAAAUGGGUUGAAUGAAAUUGACAAUUUAUUUAAAAUCGACCGGAUUACCCUAAAAAGGGUAAACUAGUCAAAUAAAUUGGAUAAAAUUGAUAAUUUAUUCAAAUUUGACCGGAUUACCCUAAAAAUGGUAAACUGGUCAAAAGAAUGAAAUGGAUGAUUUAUUCAAAAUUGACUAUAUUGUCCUAAAAUGAAUGAAUUGACCAAAUAAAUUGGAUGAAUUUGAUGGAUAAUUUGAUCAAAUGAAUUGAAUGGAAAUGAUGGUUUAUUGAAUCGUCUACCUAUUGGUAGUUUCAAAAAGUCAUUGCGAUGCAUUAGUCUAUGAGUCUUCUAAAAUCAAGAUUUGGCCUCAAUAUGUUUAUCGUCUCAAGAAGGACCAUUUGUAAAUUUCUUCAAAUUAAUGUCCUUUAUGCAAGGGAUUUUUACCAGAUAUGUUAAAAUGGCCAAAAGAUGAUUGUUAGAUGUCCAUAUCCUAAUGUGCAAAAAUUGCUUUGUCGUCUUCGAAAAGAUCGGAUCCUACCUUAUCUCGUGCACUACCCCUUCGGACAGUACAAGAAAUAUAACCGUGCAAGUCUCAUUGGAUUAAGUAUCCGAGACACGAGGUGGUUUAUUCCUAUAACGGGAUUCCCUAAAUGGUAUUUCAUCUAAAACUUGUGCAUGAUGCCAAUGUAUCAAAGCAAUUUAAAUAUGCAAAAUAUGACCUGAGGAACCCUUUGUAUGCCAGGGUAGGCCUAGAAUGAUGUUCAAUUUUCAAUCUAUAAAUGCAAUUCAUUGGAAUCUUAAACAUGCAAUAACCUAUCUAAGAGGGUAAGUUCUAAAAGUAGAUCAUGCUAGAUCUCUUAAUUCCUAGCGUUUGUGAAUGCAAAAGACAAGAAAACAAAGAAAUGUUAGUUCAAUAAAUAAUCACAUAACACGUUGAGCCAAUUAAUUGAUAUAAAAGACAAUAAAGAAAAAUAAGGAAAGAAUGGUGGAAUCCCUCCCCUCGUGCCUAGUGUUCCUAAUUCAGGAUAAGGUCGACUCUACCCUAGGCAAUUCUAAUAUGGAUGCAUGAGGUUUGGCUCACUAAUGCAUCUAGACUAGAUAAGGUUUCGGCUCCCAAGUCUUCAGACCUAAAGGCGAAAGGUCAUCACUCCCAGGACCUUUGAUCGGUGGCUCGAGUGAUUCCUUAGAUAGCGCUAUGGGCGCAGGGCACACCAUCCGCCUACCCAAGGCAAUCAGAGGUGUGGGAAACGCCCACGAAAAAGAAAAAAAUAGGGUAAAUAAGACUAUGCAUGCACGUAUGAGGUGCUUUCUUAUUGAGAGGAGGGAUUAUACCAUCAGAUGCGGUCGAAGGUUCUAGGGUAACUACCCCCCAUCCCAAAAUGCAAUAGCGAAACAAGUAAAAGUAAACAAAUAAAUGAACCAUCCAUUCAUCACAUACAUAGCGUGCGAAGAGCGAUUAUGCGAGUGAUAGAUACAAAAUCCCUAAAAAGAGAAAAAGGGCAAAAGGAAAAGAAGAAUGCAACCCUAAACCUCCAAAUGUGAUAUAUGAAAAGGUUAAAAAAGAAAAAGAUUGACUAAAUCAAAUUUGCUCGGAUUCUCUAAGUUCCCAGUAGAGUCGCCAACUGUCGCGCCCCAUUGUUUAUAGAAAAAUAAUGAGUUUAGAAAAAUGAAUUUUUGAUUUUUUGGAAAAAUGAGUUUUGUUUUUAGAAAAUGAAUAAAGGAAAAUGGCCUAAAUGGGGUUUGUAAUGCGACAAUUUGGGCCCAAAUUAUAGUUAAAAAGGGUUUUUGAAAUAAAAAUUGAAGUCGCCACUUGGUAUAGAGUUAAGGUGUACAAAGUCACUUAAAAAAUGAAUUUUAAAGAAAAAGUAGAAAAACCCUUUUUAAGCGACUCCAAGUCUACGAAAAUCAGAGAAAAAGAUUCGGGAGUCACAUUUGAAGAAAGGGAAGGCAAGGAUAAAAUCCAAGGCACCCUUUCAAUCUAGCCAAGGCUAGUUGCGCGAUUUAGUCCAAGAUUUUCUUAUUUUAACAUAAAGAUUUAUCACAUUUGGAUAUACUAUAUGAAUGCAUACCCUAGACCUAGGAGGGUAUCGGUGUGAGAACCUUGAAAAAAAAAUAUAUAUAUAUAUACAUAUAGGUAUAUAUAUAUAUAUACUUGUCGCAUUUGCAUCUUUGACUUUUAAUAAAUUUUAUUAUUGUUGGUUCUUAGAUAAGUAUGUAAAAAUAAGUUUAAAGUUGCAAAUAAGUUAAUUGUGCAAAAUAUUGGGUUAUUUGAAUUUUUGCCAAAUUAAGUUAAUAUUUCUUGACGUAGAGUGUUUUAUUACGUUAAUAUUAAUUCCUUGAAUUUCAAUAGCUAAUUUUAAGUAUUAAUAAUGUUAGGUGUUAACGGGAACCUAGAAUUACGACGAAAUCGUUUUGGUCAAAACUCUUUAUAAUUACACUUAGGACGUUGAAUCUCGAUAAUUUAAUUUUUGCGAGACUAGUAUGCUAGUAGGCUAUCAAAUUUCAUUUGGGGUGAAAUCUUGGAGUUAGUUUACAAAUGAGGGAUCUAAGUGGAAGGUCAAACAAGAUGUUAAAAGACCAAAUUAGCCUUCCUCCAUUUCAAAUUCACCAUGCAGCCAUGGAACCAUCUUGAACGAGCUUCAAUUCCAAACACUUCCAAUUUCUGCCAGGUCCAUUUUCCACUCUUCAUUCCAGCACCUGCCAUCUCUAAUGCUGACUCAACUCCACUUAAAACACUCCACUAUAUCAACUGCAUUCCACUACAACAACACUUCAAUUCUAUUCCUUCCUCCUGCCGUGAGCCGAGAAUGGAGUAAGAGAGAGAGGGAGCCGAGUUCUUCAUUUUCCUUUCUUCCUGUCCGCAAGCUAUAAAAAAAAUGGGACUGGCUGUUCAUUCUUCCUUCCAUCCGUGAGCUAGUGAAGAGUCUGAGGCCAAACUUCCUCCAUUCUAGUUGCAAGCUUGAGAAGGGAAGAGGGAGAGCUGACGGGCUGCAUUUCUGGACUGUCCGAGAAGAAAAAAUUUGCAGCUGCUAUCCGUGUGAGUUGAGCCCCAAGCUGAGGUAAUUUAUGGACCUAGACUAGUUGUUUAGGGGUAGAUGAUGUUGAUUAUAAGCAUGCAUGUGGUGGUUGUGUGGUUGGAUGAUAGAUUAAGUCACAAGAAAAACUGAUUGUGAAGGAAUUGGAGUUGCCGAAUGAGUAAGCUGGAAAUUUGCGGCUUGAGUUGGCCAAUUUGGGAUAAUUUGAGUUAAAUGUGUCUUUAGCUAGCCAAAAUCUGGGUGAUUGAGCUUUGCAUGAGGAUAAUUAGCCUUGAUUAAGGAAGAAAGUUGUAGGAACACAAAAUCUGCUUGCAUGCAAGCUAACCGAGAAGGACCGAAUGAAUCUCUGGUUGGAUGAUAAUUUUUUUUUAUGUUGUCCGCACUUGGUUUGGAUCAAAACUGAUAGAUAGUUAAUUAUUUUGAUCAUGCAUGUAGCUGAUGUGAGUCGUGGUUAAGGAAAAAGAAAAAGAAAAAAGAAAGAGAUGAAAUCUGAAAUUUGCGGCCGAGAGAAGGGGUUGAACAUUUGAUUAGUUUUCUUCGAAUUCGUAGCUAAGAUUUUCGUAUGGGAUGUUUAAGGUUUGCUUGUAGCUUGCUAAUCACCUUUUGCAUGUUGAGUUGAAGUAAAAAUUGAAGAAAACUAGGGACAAAAGCUCUAUAAGUAAACUACUAUAUCGCUGGAAUUUUUCUUGGUUGUCAGAACAAGGGGAAAAAUCUGAAUUUUUGGAAUUUUUUUUUGUGAGUAAGCUAACCGUGACUUUCUUUUAUGUUUGAGUUAAUUUCUGGUUGAUUGUGGUAAGGAAUGAUUGUAUGUUGUCAAGAGCUAAUGAUUGAUGAAGCUCUUGGCCAUUUGAGUAAUUUUUGCAAGAGUUUAAUGUUUGGUGAGUUUAUUCAAGUAGUUGGCUGAAAUGUACUUGGAAGGUCCAUGGUUUGUGAUUUGGGAUUGUUUUGAUACCUUGGACUUCCUUUGUUGAAUUUUGUUUGGAAUUGAAUCUGUUGAGACCUAGGGCUACUGAUUGAUGAAACCCUAGUGAAAUUGAUGUUUGGUUUGUAAUUUUACUAUAUUGGUCUUUUGAAUUCGAGUAGUUGAUCAAGCUUUAUUGAAAUAUUUUAUCUUAAUAUCAAGAUAUAGAAAUUGAGUAUAGUACGAUAAAACUAAAAUUUAAAUGUCUGGAUUUUUAAAAAACCUUGCUAACUGAUUAAUUCUUUUCUUUGCUUAAACUAGUUCUAGUAUUUUUAAGCAAUAAUUGUAUUAACUUCCAAACUUUAAGUUUUUCAUAAAAUUAUCCUUGACUAGUUGUUUUAGAGGAAAAUUGUUAAAAAUACUAGAUUUGAAUAAUUUCAAAUAAAAGGCAUGGAAAACUUGUUCGGCAAGAAAACUUGUUUGAAUUAAAUUGGUUGUAGUUGUACCUCUAGAAAGAAAAGUAGUUUUAAAGGAAUCAUACGAAAUAUUUUAUUACUUUACUAGCUUUAAUUCUAAGAGAUUUAUUGAUUUAUUCCGAGAAAAUAAAUUAGUUUUAUACCAGAUAAUUUUCUGUAUUUAAACCAAGAGUUUGUAUAGUGAAACUUAUAGUUUUUUUUAAACUUGGUUUUUUAGGGUUUAGCAAGGACGUGGGCUUCGAUUUCCAGCUUGACUUUUGAGCUUCACUUUUGGUGAGUGUCCGUGCUUGUUCUAUGACUAAAGUGUUAAAGUGCUUUCUUGACUUGUUAUGUGAUAAUUGGAAAGUGGUUUUCUUGAACCAUCGAAGUGGCAGUGUGUACUUUAUCGCACUAACCUUUCGAGUGGUGACUUGCUUGAAAUGUUUUCUCGAAUAUCUUGCAAUUGUUGACUGGAGCGUGGACUUGUCAACUAAUCUACCAGGCAGGGGAAUGUACCACACCUUAGGGUGGGAGGGCCUCCUAUCCUGACUUGGUAAAAACGUGUUGUGACGUCGUUGGGUGAAUCCCUCGACUAGUUUAUAAUUGUGACGUCGUUGGGUGAAUCCCUAGUCACCCACGACUAGUUUAUAAUGUGACGUCGUUGGGUGAAUCCCUCGACUAGUUUACAAAAAGGUAUACUCAAGUAAUACCAAACUCUCUCGUGAGAAGAACGGGCCUGGUGGGAGUAAGUUGGUUGGAGCGUGUUAAGAAAAAAAAUAAUGAAUCUACAUGGACUUUAGAUAGUGAGAGUUGACGGAGGUUCAACUGCGGUUAAUUUUGAUCGAGAGUGGGGAAAAUGGCUCCUGAGAGCCCUGUAUCCUACCCUGUACUGUUAUACGCUUUUCUACUUGCUGAAUUUAAGCUUGAAGUUAUGAUUUACUAUUUGUGUUAUAUGAUUGCAUGUUUUGGGGCACCACUGAGUUUUAGCUCACCACACGAUAUUUGUUUUCCUUAACAGGUUUUGGCAUUCGAGAGAUUUGAAGUCUGCUUUGAGCUUUUGUAAAUGUUGUUUCGAAUCGUCUGUGUAUCUUUUGUUUUGGGUUGCCACUUGAAGUUGGAAAAGUGCAAACCCUAAGUUUUGGCUUGUAUAAAUUUAUUUGAACUUUACGAAUUCACCGUGUGGUUUAUAAUAUAUUUUUGUAGUUAUAUGUUGAGCUGGUUGGGGGUGUGUUUAAGAGUGAACGUUCGGAUGUCCAAUGGCAAUGUUAUCUCUGAAGUUAAUGUGUUCUUAGUAUUCUGGUUGUAAAGGUUUGGCUUGUUCGGGAGACGUAUGGUGUUUUGGUUUAAGUUAUACGUGGAUAAUUAGUCGGUUUGCUUGCGUGAGUCCUGGCGAGAGCUAGGCAGGCGACCCGCCAACCCUCUGGUUCGCCUUAGAGAGAAGUGGGGCCGCCACAAUCGGGGAGUCAAAAUAUCUCUUCGAAGCUCAAUUGGUACCAAUCACAUUAAUUGUGAUGCCCAAAGUGAUUAUUUCGAAGAAGUCACGAAUUGUGCAAAAAUAUGAGACUCAAAGAGAAAAUACGAAAAUACAAGUAUGUACAGAUAUACAUGACCUAAAGGGAUGCAUCAUAACGGGUGCGGGGAGACUAAUGUUCGUGACUUAAUUUUCCCUUUAAUAGAGGGAAUACGGGCGUGCUAAGGUUAGAAAGCCAAACUCGUCCAUAUCCCAUACGCAAGGGGUUUUCCUAAUCUAGCAUGCAAAUGAUUUAACCUAGUUUCUACCUCUUAAAUGAAAUGCAAGUCUAAUGUUAUGUUUUCAUACAAAGGGGUAAGGAAUAUAUAUAUAAGGGAAAAUACGAAAUAAGGGAUAUAAGUAGAAGGGAAUAUGGGAUAAAGGAUGUACAUAUAUAAAAAAGUGUCAUGCAACAUGGUAAAACCCUAAAAAGUGAAAACAUGCAUGAGAUGAAGUGAUUUUAUCACACAACCAUGAUCUAACGCUCGAGAGGCUCCUAAGGGUCUAGCGUUGGACUAGCCCAUGUCUACAAUUUCCCACUAGCAUUGGACUAGUGAGAAAAGUCGGAACAAAGGGCCACAACUAGCGUUGGACUAGUGUGGUGACGUCACACAUCGGUUACAAUCAAAUAAAUCAUGUAAGACCUAAUAAAAGCAUGUAAACACAUAAAUCACAUAUAGCACAUAACACAUAAACAUGAUAUCUAGAUGCAAGACCCUAAGAAAGCGGUAACACAUAGCACAUAGACAUGCAAAACACACAUAAGGCAAAUAAAGCAAAUAAAGCCCUAACUAUUACAUUCGGAGGAAGCCUACUACAAUCUAAAAGGGGAAACGGAAUAAAAUAAAUAAAAUAAUAACCUAACUAUUACAACUUUGGCAUUCAAGUGCCUUUCAAAUGAUCGAAAUUGAAAAUAACUAUACAAAACUAAAACAAAUAAAGUGGAUAAAUAAAUAAAUAAAUAAAAUGAAAACAUUCAAAAGGCAUGCAAUUAAGCACAUAAAUCACAUAGACACAUAGAGUCAAAUAAAGUGAAAAUAAGGGAUAGAGUGUACCUCCCUUGCAAUGGUAAUCAAAUGAAGAAAAAACAACUUCAAAACAAUAAAAGGGUCAAGGCACCAAUUAAAUAGUAAAGUAUAAACAAAAUCACCAAAUCCCUCCCAAUUGCAACUUAAAUGAAAUCAAAUAAUGCAUAAUUUCCAAGAAAAGUAAAUUAUUGAUCAUAUUUCAAAAAUAGAAGAACUACGAAGGACCCAAUUGCAAAUAUUAACCAAUCACUCAAACCCAAUUAACACAUUUUGAGAAAUUCACGGGUCCAAGAGCAAAGAAGGGGUCAAGUAAUGGUUCAAAUUGCAAUUAUUCUAGGACCUAAUUGCGAGAAAUUAGAACAUAAUUGAGCCAUAGUAAGAUAAAGGGAAGCUUAGGGGAUUAAAGUGCAAUUUUUGAAAACCAUUUUGCAUGCAAGAGCCAUGAAACAAGCUUCUGCAACCGAAAGUCCUUCAGCAGCUAAAGAGAUUCAUCCGCAAGCUUUAUCCAUACAUCCUUGGGUAAACAAAACUUUGAACUAAAUUAACACAUGUACAAACACCCCUUAACAAAGCAAUUCUUUUAAGAAAUUCAUGCAAGUUUCAUGCAAACAAAUGAGCUUCUGCCACUGAAGGAGAAAUCUGCUGCAUUUUCGUUUACAAAACUCAUGUCUCAAACAAUCUUUGAUCAAACUUCUCCAACCAAACACUCAAAAACUUAAUCUAAGCAACGUGACACGCAAUUUCAACAUCGCAACAAACCAAAACAUAGAAGGAAAAUCACACAAAUGCUAGAGAAAUUUCCAGCAAACAUUCGACAACUUGAUUUGUUCAUUUUCCAGCAAGUAUUCGAUCAUAGUUCAAGUAUUUCAGACCCUAAACAUGCAAACUCAACACCACUUAUCCAAUUCCCCUUCAACACCAUAUUAAGCAUGCAACUUAAAUGUAAAAACUCAAUGAGCAUCCAUGGAGAAUAAAACAGCACAAAAGAAUGCAACAGCUUUUUGCUUUGCUGCGAAUUUCGCAGCUUCAAACUCGCGUACGUUAAAUGCUGAAAACAUUGCAUUAAACUCUCCAUUUAUUUACCAAACUCACACACAUCUCCAAACCUCCAUCUAUCACUGAUCAAACAUAGUUACCUCCCCCCCAAAGUACCCCAACCGAAAUGAUCCAGGCCCAAGAAAGCGAGAACAAUACAAAAUUGCAGCAAAGAAAGGGAAAAAAAUGAAACUUGCGGUAAACUGAAGUUGGGAUCUACGAAAGUCAUGAUUUUUCCUAGUCAACCCAUCUAAUCAUUGAACAUCAAACUACCCUAAAGCCUUUUAAAUGCAUUUGAGUCAAUCAGACGAAAUCUGCAGGGCAUCAUGAGCCACAAAGGGAUGAAAUACAAUCAUAUUCACAAGGAAGGAACAAGAAACUGAUCUGACGAACUCAAAUCUUCAUCAAAUAUUUGUGUUAAAGCGACAAGAAACAAAGCUAUAAUUACCUGCAAGAGUUGGUGAAGCAAAGCAAUGUGAAAUAUGUCUGAAAAAUGAAUGCAGAUUCCAGAAAUGAGAUUGAGAAUGUUGCCGCAGAACUUCAGCGCUGAUGAAGCCGUCACUUGGGCUCUUGAUUUAGCUGUCUUCCCGUGAUCUUUUCCCAGAGAUUGGUGAACGAGAUUUCCUCUAUGGCCUCCCAAGAGUGCGCAGAAAUCAAAAGAUCCUUCAGAAGGCCAGAAUCAAAACAGGAAUCUUGUCCCAAAGUAGGCUAGUUCAUCAGUCGGGCUGAGCUUUUGCAGAAGGGAUUCCUGCAAUUUUCCUUCCGUCAUUACCCGAAGCUUUCUUCUUCUGGUUCUUGUUUUUGUUUCUUAUCCGUAGCCUCUAUUCCAUCUUAGCUCUCCCUACUCAGAUUUUCUAGCCGUCGGCUUGCUAUUUCCUUUCUCCCUUGGCCACCCAGAUUCUCCCCUCACUCUCGUUGCUUUCUUCUCUCUCACUGAUUCUUUUCCCUCGCCUUCCUACUCAGCCGUCACUCCUCUCUUGUUGCUUUCUUUUUUCUCUACCGAAUCUCCCUCGUUCAUCCCCCCGUAGCCUCUUGCCUUCAGCCACCCAUUCCACUCUACUCUCCUUUCUCAGAUCCUUUAUCCCCAGAAUUUUCUUUUGCCGUCAGCCUUUUCUUUCCUGCCCCGCUCUCGAUUUUUCCUCUCCAGCCGCCAGAGCCUAAAACCCUUUUUAGCCUUCAAACUCUCCCUUCACUCUUUCCUUCAGCCGUCAUCCGACCCCUUCCUUCUUUUUUUUUUGGCUGUGUUUUCUCUUCAGCUUUUAUAUGGAACCCAUGUCGCUAAAACCUACCUUCAAGGGUGCCGAUGAAACCCCUGUUUUGCUGGCAGGUUUUCUUUCAAAA